This 425-nucleotide ribosomal RNA is filed under the name uncultured bacterium. RNAcentral describes it as "bacterial SSU rRNA". It matches the Rfam family "Bacterial small subunit ribosomal RNA", at positions 354 to 796 of the family's 1533-position model. The record is from RNAcentral.
GUGGGGAAUCUUGCGCAAUGGGCGAAAGCCUGACGCAGCCAUGCCGCGUGAAUGAUGAAGGUCUUAGGAUUGUAAAAUUCUUUCACCGGGGACGAUAAUGACGGUACCCGGAGAAGAAGCUCCGGCUAACUUCGUGCCAGCAGCCGCGGUAAUACGAAGGGGGCUAGCGUUGCUCGGAAUUACUGGGCGUAAAGGGCGCGUAGGCGGACAGCUUAGUCAGAGGUGAAAGCCCAGGGCUCAACCUUGGAAUUGCCUUUGAUACUGGCUGUCUUGAGUUUGGGAGAGGUGAGUGGAACUCCGAGUGUAGAGGUGAAAUUCGUAGAUAUUCGGAAGAACACCAGUGGCGAAGGCGACUCACUGGCCCAAUACUGACGCUGAGGCGCGAAAGCGUGGGAAGCAAACAGGAUUAGAAACCCGUGUAGUCC